GAAAUGCGAUAAGUAAUGUGAAUUGCAGAAUUCAGUGAAUCAUCGAAUCUUUGAACGCACAUUGCGCCCCCUAGUAUUCUAGCGGGCAUGCCUGUUCGAGCGUCAUUUCAACCCUCAAGCCCUGCUUGGUGUUGGGGUCCUACGGCUGCCGUAGGCCCUGAAAGAAAGUGGCGGGCUCGCUACAACUCCGAGCGUAGUAGAUUCUAUCUCGCUAGGGAAGUGUAGAGUGCUCCUGCCGUUAAAGACCCAUCUUUAACCCAAGGUUGACCUCGGAUCAGGUAGGAAUACCCGCUGAACUUAA
This 301-nucleotide unclassified non-coding RNA is filed under the name uncultured Sordariomycetes. RNAcentral describes it as "sequence contains ITS1". The stretch from base 1 to 105 matches the Rfam family "5.8S ribosomal RNA", at positions 50 to 154 of the family's 154-position model. Lineage: Eukaryota; Fungi; Ascomycota; Sordariomycetes. The record is from RNAcentral.